CACCGCGGUCAUACGAUUAACCCAAAUUAAUUACUCUCGGCGUAAAACGUGUAAACUAUAAACUGAUAAAUAGGAUUAAAAUCCAACUUAUAUGUGAAAAUUCAUUGUUAGGACCUAAACUCAACAACGAAAGUAAUUCUAAUAAUAUUAUAUUACACGAUAGCUAAGACC
RNAcentral lists this ribosomal RNA (171 nucleotides) under Apodemus speciosus (large Japanese field mouse). RNAcentral's name for it is "partial 12S ribosomal RNA". The record is from RNAcentral. Lineage: Eukaryota; Metazoa; Chordata; Mammalia; Rodentia; Muridae.